GACGAACGCUGGCGGCGUGCUUAACACAUGCAAGUCGAACGGAAAGGCCCCUUUGGGGGUACUCGAGUGGCGAACGGGUGAGUAACACGUGAGUAACCUGCCCUUGACUUCGGGAUAACUUCAGGAAACUGGGGCUAAUACCGGAUAGGAAUCCUUGCUGCCUGGAGGGGGUUGGAAAGCUUCGGCGGUUUUGGAUGGACUCGCGGCUUAUCAGCCUGUUGGUGGGGUAGUGGCUUACCAAGGCUUUGACGGGUAGCCGGCCUGAGGGGGCGACCGGCCACAUUGGGGCUGAGAUACGGCCCAGGCCCCUACCGGAGGCAGCAGUGGGGAAUAUUGCCCAAUGGGAGGGAGCCUGAUGCAGCAACGCCGCGUGCGGGAUGACGGCCUUCGGGUUGUAAACCGGUUUCAGCAGGGGCGAAGCUUGUGGUGACGGUACCUGCAGAAGAAGCACCGGCUAACUACGUG
This 465-nucleotide ribosomal RNA is filed under the name uncultured bacterium. RNAcentral's name for it is "partial 16S ribosomal RNA". It matches the Rfam family "Bacterial small subunit ribosomal RNA", at positions 28 to 507 of the family's 1533-position model. The record is from RNAcentral.